RNAcentral lists this transfer RNA (72 nucleotides) under Sphaerodactylus townsendi. RNAcentral describes it as "tRNA-Ala". It matches the Rfam family "tRNA". Rfam says of the family: Transfer RNA (tRNA) molecules are approximately 80 nucleotides in length. Their secondary structure includes four short double-helical elements and three loops (D, anti-codon, and T loops). The record is from RNAcentral. Lineage: Eukaryota; Metazoa; Chordata; Lepidosauria; Squamata; Sphaerodactylidae.
GGGGCUGUGGCUCAGUGGAAGAGCCUCUGCUUGGCAUACAGAAGGUCCCAGGUUCAGUCCCCAGCACCUCCA